RNAcentral lists this ribosomal RNA (301 nucleotides) under uncultured bacterium. Its description in RNAcentral is "partial 16S ribosomal RNA". It matches the Rfam family "Bacterial small subunit ribosomal RNA", at positions 509 to 807 of the family's 1533-position model. The record is from RNAcentral.
CAGCCGCCGCGGUAAAACGUAGGUGGCAAGCGUUGUCCGGAAUUAUUGGGCGUAAAGGGCUCGCAGGCGGUUUCUUAAGUCUGAUGUGAAAGCCCCCGGCUCAACCGGGGAGGGUCAUUGGAAACUGGGAAACUUGAGUGCAGGAGGGGAGAGUGGAAUUCCACGUGUAGCGGUGAAAUGCGUAGAGAUGUGGAGGAACACCAGUGGCGAAGGCGACUCUCUGGUCUGUAACUGACGCUGAGGAGCGAAAGCGUGGGGAGCGAACAGGAUUAGAUACCCGUGUAGUCCCUGUCUCUUAUAC